This 468-nucleotide ribosomal RNA is filed under the name uncultured bacterium. RNAcentral's name for it is "partial 16S ribosomal RNA". It matches the Rfam family "Bacterial small subunit ribosomal RNA", at positions 34 to 507 of the family's 1533-position model. The record is from RNAcentral.
UCCUCCCUCUUUCUUCGUGCCUAACACAUGCAAGUCGAACGGAAAGGCCCUGCUCUUGUGGGGUGCUGGAGUGGCGAACGCGUGAGUAUGACGUGUGUAUCCUGCUCUUGUCUUUGGGAUAACUUCAGGAAACUGGAGUUAAUAUCGGACAGGAGCACCUGUAGCAGGGUGGGGGGUGGAAAGUUGCGGCGGUUGGGGAUGGAGGCGCGGCUGAGCAGCUUGUUGGUGGGGUAGUGGCGUACCAAGGCUUUGACGGGUAGCCGGCCUGAGAGGGUGACCGGGCACAAUGGUCCUGAGGAAGGGCCCAGAGUGCAACGGGGGGCAGCAGUGGCAAAUAUUGCACAAUGGGCGGACGCCUGAUACAGCGGCGUCGCGUGCGGAAUGACGGCCUGCGGGUAAUAAACCGCUUUCGCCUGUGACGCCGCGUGAGUGACGGUAAUCAGUAAAGAAGCACCGGCUAACUACGUG